AGUGAACGCUGGCGGCGUGCCUAAUACAUGCAAGUCGAACGGAGUGGCGCACGGGUGAGUAAUGUAUAGCUAAUCUGCCCUACACUAGAGGACAACAGUUGGAAACGGCUGCUAAUACUCUAUAGUGUAGGAUGAGGCUAUAUUGUAUCAGCUAGUUGGUGAGGUAAUGGCUCACCAAGGCUAUGACGCAUAACUGGUCUGAGAGGAUGAUGAGUCACACUGGAACGGAAACAAGGUGCAGACUCCUACGGGAGGGAGCAGUAGGGAAUAUUGCUCAAGGGGGGAAACCCUGAAGCGGCAACGCGGCGUGGAGUAUGACACGUUGCGGAGCGUAAGCUCAGUUUGUUAGGGAAGCGGUACCGAACGAAUAAGCACCGGCUAACUCCGUGCCAGCAGCCGCGGUAAUAC
RNAcentral lists this ribosomal RNA (408 nucleotides) under uncultured bacterium. RNAcentral's name for it is "partial 16S ribosomal RNA". It matches the Rfam family "Bacterial small subunit ribosomal RNA", at positions 29 to 526 of the family's 1533-position model. The record is from RNAcentral.